This is a long non-coding RNA of Etheostoma cragini (Arkansas darter), 154 nucleotides long. RefSeq lists it as uncharacterized. The record is from RefSeq and is a predicted model, not a curated record. The transcript has 3 exons. NCBI's taxonomy places the organism in Eukaryota, Metazoa, Chordata, Actinopteri, Perciformes, Percidae.
UUGAAGAAAAUGCCCUCUAACCUUAGCCUGGUUGACACCGGACCCUUCUCAGUUGUAACUGAGAGUGGGUCUGGGCAAGCUUCAUUCACAGCCCGUUUCCAAAAGGGGCGUCAACAACCGCUGGUGCUCAAAGGCCUCUGGGCGCAAUUGGAGG